RNAcentral lists this small nuclear RNA (105 nucleotides) under Moschus moschiferus (Siberian musk deer). Lineage: Eukaryota; Metazoa; Chordata; Mammalia; Artiodactyla; Moschidae. The record is from RNAcentral.
GUUCACUUCGGCAGUACAUAUACUAAAAUUGGAACAAUACAAAGGAGAUUAGCAUGGCCCCUGUGCAAGGAUGACACCCAGAUUCAUGAAGCGUUCCCUAUAUUU